Oncorhynchus tshawytscha (Chinook salmon) is the source of this 1323-nucleotide long non-coding RNA. NCBI's taxonomy places the organism in Eukaryota, Metazoa, Chordata, Actinopteri, Salmoniformes, Salmonidae. The record is from Ensembl.
GGCAGAGUCAGACUCACCUGUCAACCUACUAUGAAGAGGAGGGCAGAGUCAGACUUACAUGUGAACUUACUAAGCACAGGGGUGUUCUCAUCAUCUGAACUGUCUUCUGUGGGCAAAUAGAGAUGAGCACAAACAAACAGCAUGGCAUUGGCAGGAUGCAGUCAUUGGCAGGAUGCAGUCACUGGCAGGAUGCAGGCACUGGCAGGAUGCAGGCACUGGCAGGAUGCAGUCAUUGGCAGGAUGCAGGCACUGGCAGGAUGCAGUCAUUGGCAGGAUGCAGGCACUGGCAGGAUGCAGGGACUGGCAGGAUGCAGGCACUGGCAGGAUGCAGGGACUGGCAGGAUGAAGGCACUGGCAGGAUGCAGGCACUUGGCAGGAUGCAGGCACUGGCAGGAUGAAGGCACUGGCAGGAUGCAGGCACUGGCAGGAUGCAGGCACUGACAGGAUGCAGGCACUGACAGGAUGAAGGCACUGACAACAGACAGCUCUAUAGGAGCUAGCUACACAGAGACACUAAGCUUAAGCUACAGACACAGAGAUUGUUUGAAAAGAAAGAAAGAAAGAAAUGUUAGGCAGUUAAAGUUUGAAAAGGGUUGCUUUGAUUGUCAGAGUGACAGAGGAGAGAGAGAACCCAAGUGCAGAACAGUAGCAGAGAAAGCAUGUCAUGUCACACUAAGCUUAGAAACAAUGCUGCCUGUGUGUAUAUAAUGCACAUCUUCACAUCUACAGUUAAUCAUUAGCAAUAGUUAUUAGAACCAUGCCAUAAAAGGCAUGCUGUUUCUGAAGUGGAGAGAGAAGAGUUGCGAUGAGACAUUGGGAAAUAGCUAGAAAUGUUCCAGGUUGGGUUAGAAUUGAGUAUUUGGGUUUGUGCCCAAUUCUGCCUGUUAGCAUCAUAAUAAUGUCUCUCUAUUAUGCUGAUGUAUUACUACGUUCAUUAAGUCAUUUAGUAAAGUAUGUUUGACCACAUUCCAAAGUUACAGAGGAAAAAAGUACCUCAGGGGAAAAGGGUACCUCCACUUUUUUUUAUUUCUCAAAAAUAAUAGGAAAUGGGGCAUCAUUCGAGGUGAAUAAAAUGAGCAUCACAUACUUAUAAAGGGCAAUGAUUAUGUUUAACUCCAUGAAUCAAAUAAGCAAACAAAAUCACGGGUCAAGCAAACAGUGACUUGUUUCAGAGCACAGAGAUAAUAGAACUCUGGCUAUAGCAGGUACCUUGCUCUGUGCAGCAAUGCCACUGGUGGAAGAUCCUUCCAAUGAGGAUGACGUUUCUAGAGGUGGCAGGUGGGUGUUGGAUCAGAGGCAUGGGAACAAAGAUGUCUCCUUGGG